AGCAGCAGCCGCGGUAAUACGUAGGGUGCAAGCGUUAAUCGGAAUUACUGGGCGUAAAGCGUGCGCAGGCGGUUAUAUAAGACAGAUGUGAAAUCCCCGGGCUCAACCUGGGAACUGCAUUUGUGACUGUAUAGCUAGAGUACGGCAGAGGGGGAUGGAAUUCCGCGUGUAGCAGUGAAAUGCGUAGAUAUGCGGAGGAACACCGAUGGCGAAGGCAAUCCCCUGGGCCUGUACUGACGCUCAUGCACGAAAGCGUGGGGAGCAAACAGGAUUAGAUACCUUUGUAGUCCCUGUCUCUUAUAC
RNAcentral lists this ribosomal RNA (303 nucleotides) under uncultured bacterium. RNAcentral describes it as "partial 16S ribosomal RNA". It matches the Rfam family "Bacterial small subunit ribosomal RNA", at positions 507 to 807 of the family's 1533-position model. The record is from RNAcentral.